GGAGGAAAAGAAACCAACAGGGAUUCCCUUAGUAACGGCGAGCGAACAGGGAAGAGCCCAGCGCCGAAUUCCGCGCCCGCAAGGGCGUCUGGAAAAUGUGGCGUUUAGGAGGGAGCGUGCCGGAAGGUGACUCUGCAGCAAGUCCCCCUGACCGGGGCUGUAACCCAGAGCGGGUGCGAGGCCCAUAGCUGCUAGGUCUAAUCCGGAUGCGACCUCUUGGGAGUCGGGUUGCUUGAGAGUGCAACCCUAAUCGGGUGGUAAACUCCAUCUAAGGCUAAAUACGGCCGUGAGACCGAUAGCAAACAAGUACCGUGAGGGAAAGUUGCAAAGAACUUUGAAGAGAGAGUUCAAGAGUACGUGAAACUGCUCAGAGGUAAACGGGUGGGCCCUCGAAAUCCGGUGGCGGGAGGAUUCAGUCCGGAGGGGCAGAGGCCCGUGCGGUUCGUCAUGCGGUUCCUUCUCUGGACCGUCCCGCACGUUAACGCGCCUCGUCCUCGCCCGACGCAUUUCCUCUCGCCCGAGAGGACGCCGCAGCCGGUCGGGUACGAUCGAUAAGACGGCCUUACGGUCGGUCCGUUAGGCAGGUGGCCGGUGGCGUAGCUCGUCUUCGCCGCCGGUGCUAGCCGGGCCGACUCCGGCUCGUCACCCGACCGAGGAAUCUGAGGGCAGCCCUUCGGGACUGCCCCACCGUCUCCUCUCCCUCAAAGAGAUGCGGGCGUGCCGACAGACGCGCACCGGCUCGCUGCCGUUCCACGCACUCCGCAGUGGACGGCGCGCCGGCGUCAUCGAUGGUCGUGCUGUCGUUCCCGCGGGAGCUUGCUGACGGCUAGCGGCGAGUAGGUCGGUCACCCACCCGACCCGUCUUGAAACACGGACCAAGGAGUCUAACAUGUGCGCGAGUCAAUGGGUCUUGACUAUGCCCAAAGGCGCAAUGAAAGUAAAGACCGGCCCCAGCGGCCGGUUGUGUUGGGACUCCCCCUCCCUGGCGUGGGGGAAGCACCAACGACCCGUCCCGUCCGGAUUCCGGUGGGGCGGAGUCUGAGCGUACACGUUGGGACCCGAAAGAUGGUGAACUAUGCCUGGGCAGGACGAAGCCAGAGGAAACUCUGGUGGAGGUCCGUAGCGGUUCUGACGUGCAAAUCGAUCGUCAGACCCGGGUAUAGGGGCGAAAGACUAAUCGAACCAUCUAGUAGCUGGUUCCCUCCGAAGUUUCCCUCAGGAUAGCUGGCGCUCGGAGAUAAUCAGUCUCAUCCGGUAAAGCGAAUGAUUAGAGGCCUUGGGGCCGAAACGACCUCAACCUAUUCUCAAACUUUAAAUGGGUGAGAAGUCCGGCUUUCGCGACUGAAGCCCGGACGCUCGGAUGAGAGUGCCCAGUGGGCCACUUUUGGUAAGCAGAACUGGCGCUGUGGG
This 1410-nucleotide ribosomal RNA is filed under the name Notiothops sp. MR246. RNAcentral's name for it is "eukaryotic LSU rRNA". It matches the Rfam family "Eukaryotic large subunit ribosomal RNA", at positions 52 to 1162 of the family's 3401-position model. Lineage: Eukaryota; Metazoa; Arthropoda; Arachnida; Araneae; Palpimanidae. The record is from RNAcentral.